RNAcentral lists this transfer RNA (65 nucleotides) under Iphisa elegans. RNAcentral describes it as "tRNA-Asp". Lineage: Eukaryota; Metazoa; Chordata; Lepidosauria; Squamata; Gymnophthalmidae. The record is from RNAcentral.
AAGAUUCUAGUAAAACAAUUACAUAGCAGUGUCAACGCUAAAUUACAAGACAGCUUGUGAAUCUU